GCGCUCGUAGCUCAGCUGGAUAGAGUAUUGGCCUCCGAAGCCAAAUGUCGGGUGUUCAAAUCACCUCGAGCGCA
RNAcentral lists this transfer RNA (74 nucleotides) under uncultured Candidatus Thioglobus sp. RNAcentral describes it as "uncultured SUP05 cluster bacterium tRNA-Arg-CCG". It matches the Rfam family "tRNA". Rfam says of the family: Transfer RNA (tRNA) molecules are approximately 80 nucleotides in length. The record is from RNAcentral. Lineage: Bacteria; Pseudomonadati; Pseudomonadota; Gammaproteobacteria; Pseudothioglobaceae (SeqCode).